CCUGGGCAGGCCGAUUGCCCAGGUGGAGGAGGUGGAGGUGAAGGACAAAAUCAACCUGGUGCGCCUGCGCUACGAGGGCGCGGUCAAGGACGGGCUCGACGACCCUACCAAGGUUCUGCUGUCGAAGGUGCACAAGGCCGCGCAGCUGCAGCUGGGCGAGGACCGGCUGUCGGUGACGGGGCACAAGGGCUUCCGCACCGCGCGCGCCAGCCACGGCGCGCACGAGGGCGCGCUCUACUGCGAGGUGCGCAUCACGCGGCUCGGCCGCACCGGCCACGCGCGCGUGGGUUGGUGCACGCGGCGCGCGGAGCUGCAGGCGCCGGUGGGCUACGACACCUUCGGCUUCGCCUUCCGCGACGUGGACGGCAGCAAGGUCAGCAACGGCCUGCGCGAGCCCUACAUGCCGGGUGGGGCGGGCUUCCGCGAGGGCGACGUGGUGGGCAUGUAUAUCCACCUGCCGCCCGGCGGCCGCACGCUGGAGCCGCAGCAGAACGAGUACGCCAAGUACAAGGGGCGCUGGAUGCGCAUCGAGGACCCCGAGCCCGACCCGCUGCCGCUGCCCGGCUCCGUCAUCGCCUUCGCCGUCAACGGCGUCAACGCGGGCGUGGCCUUCCGCGACUUCAACGAGGGCACGUACUACCCCGCCGCCUCGCUUUACACCAUGCCGGAGCAGACCGACGGCGCCA
RNAcentral lists this long non-coding RNA (686 nucleotides) under Chlamydomonas reinhardtii. RNAcentral describes it as "long non-coding RNA (CREI_LNC001263)". The record is from RNAcentral. Lineage: Eukaryota; Viridiplantae; Chlorophyta; Chlorophyceae; Chlamydomonadales; Chlamydomonadaceae.